AAGUCGUAACAAGGUUACCGUAGAUGAAUCUGCGGUAGGAUCAUUAACAAUAAGAUCUCUACUUUGUUUGUGCACCGUACCACGCCCGUCUCUGGCUGGCUGCUGCUGGGCUUGGGGGGCUACUUUGGCUCUCCCUGUCCGGCGACGCGCCAGAGACGAAUUUUAAAAACGCCUUUAGAAUCUUAAAAAGUAUAUAUUCUAUAAACAUAAUAGAAAACAACUUUUAGCAACGAAUCUCUUGGCUCUC
RNAcentral lists this unclassified non-coding RNA (247 nucleotides) under fungal sp. RNAcentral describes it as "partial internal transcribed spacer region". The stretch from base 1 to 46 matches the Rfam family "Eukaryotic small subunit ribosomal RNA", at positions 1786 to 1831 of the family's 1831-position model. Lineage: Eukaryota; Fungi. The record is from RNAcentral.